This is a long non-coding RNA of Alosa sapidissima (American shad), 1113 nucleotides long. RefSeq lists it as uncharacterized. The record is from RefSeq and is a predicted model, not a curated record. Lineage: Eukaryota; Metazoa; Chordata; Actinopteri; Clupeiformes; Clupeidae. The transcript has 3 exons.
GUGUGCUCCUCCGAUUUCAUUCUCAGAGCUCCUCUGCACUCUGAGAUGCAUAAGCACCAUGGUGGUACCCCAGCACUCAUCUGUUCGUUGUCUCGUCAUAUUUCAGUUACAUAUGUUUCUUCCUCCUGUCACAUACAGGCAUGAACUGUCCUGAAGUCCUUUGUCUACGUCGCAAGGUCAUGCUUCCCUCGCAUUACUGAUGCUGCUCAUCUUAUUUUGGGGUGGCUUUCCAAGAGCAGGUGCUAAGGUGUAGCUCACACGCAUCCAUCUUGGCCUUGGGUCUGCAGCUCAAUGCAUUCAUCUCACUCUAGCCGCUGCAGGUGAGCUAUCGAACCAGAACACACAUCUGGCUUCACAAGCACUAGUCUUCUACAAAACUAGUCAUAAUGCUUAUCUAUCCUAAAUAUUAAACCACAUGACUACGAUGCGAAUAUACUCAAGAACCCAUAUCAACUAACUCAUUGCUCCGGUCCCAAGCAUCUGCAACCACAAGCAUUGAUCCUGAGUACAUCAUGUUUAACCUUUUAACCCUAACCAUGUUUUGCUUCCCUGGUCCCCGUUCACUACCUUAAACUCCGGCUCACACUUUACCUGAUUUUCAGCAGCCAUCUAGCUAACGUGCUGCUUAAAUGUAACCUCUCUUCAAAGAGGUUCACUUCUCACUCAUUCUGCAUCGGCGCAGCCAAGACUGCCGGCCAAAAAGGGCUAUCCACGUCAUCCAUCAGGAUGCAUCAAACUAACUCUUGACAUUUUCGAUGCUCAGAAGUUGCUCUCCCAUGUUAACUCAGGUACCUCAUUUUACCUUCACAAAUCCUGGUGGCGGUGGUUAAAUUCUGGCAUUCGCCUUGCACUAAUCGCUGAAACAUAUUGGGGCCCAGCAUGCCGGUAGCUUGUGGUGAUUUAGUCUCAGCCAUGGGCAUGUUGCCCUUUUCACUGGUUGCCCAGCUCGUUCGAUGCUUAUGGUUCAGGUCACUUCUCGCCGGUCGCCCGGCUCGUGAUGCACGUCUAGGUUGCCCUAGACACUGGUUGCCCAGUUUGGUCCACGCUGCCCUGGAUGCCGGUCGCCCGGCCAUCACAUCGGUCUAGGUUGCCCUAUACGCUGGUUGACCAGCU